GUGCUCACUUUGGCAGCACACAUACUAAAAUUGAAAUGAUACAGAGAAUAUCAGCAUGGCCCCUGGAAGGGUGACGUGCAAAUUCGUGAAGCGUUCCAUAUUUUA
RNAcentral lists this small nuclear RNA (105 nucleotides) under Microcebus murinus (gray mouse lemur). Lineage: Eukaryota; Metazoa; Chordata; Mammalia; Primates; Cheirogaleidae. The record is from RNAcentral.